AUUGAACGCUGGCGGCAUGCCUUACACAUGCAAGUCGAACGGUAACAGGUCUUCGGAUGCUGACGAGUGGCGAACGGGUGCGUAAUACAUCGGAACGUGCCCGAUCGUGGGGGAUAACGAAGCGAAAGCUUUGCUAAUACCGCAUACGAUCUACGGAUGAAAGCGGGGGAUCUUCGGACCUCGCGCGGACGGAGCGGCCGAUGGCAGAUUAGGUAGUUGGUGGGAUAAAAGCUUACCAAGCCGACGAUCUGUAGCUGGUCUGAGAGGAUGAUCAGCCACACUGGGACUGAGACACGGCCCAGACUCCUAGGGGGGGCAGGAGGGGGGAAUUUUGGAAAAGGGGCGCAAGCCUGACCCAGCCAGGCCGGGUGCAGGAUGAAGGCCUUCGGGUUGUAAACUGCUUUUGUACGGAACAAAAAGGUGCCUUUUAAAAAAGGGCGCUCAUGGCGGGACCGAAAGAAUAAGCACCGGCUAACUACGU
RNAcentral lists this ribosomal RNA (481 nucleotides) under uncultured bacterium. RNAcentral describes it as "partial 16S ribosomal RNA". It matches the Rfam family "Bacterial small subunit ribosomal RNA", at positions 29 to 506 of the family's 1533-position model. The record is from RNAcentral.